UACGAAGGGGCUAGCGUUGCUCGGAAUCACUGGGCGUAAAGCGCACGUAGGCGGCUUGUUAAGUCAGGGGUGAAAUCCUGGAGCUCAACUCCAGAACUGCCUUUGAUACUGGCGAGCUUGAGUCCGGGAGAGGUGAGUGGAACUGCGAGUGUAGAGGUGAAAUUCGUAGAUAUUCGCAAGAACACCAGUGGCGAAGGCGGCCCACUGGAUCGGUACUGACGCUGAGGUGGCGAAAGCGUGGGGAGCAAACAGG
RNAcentral lists this ribosomal RNA (253 nucleotides) under uncultured bacterium. Its description in RNAcentral is "partial 16S ribosomal RNA". It matches the Rfam family "Bacterial small subunit ribosomal RNA", at positions 524 to 776 of the family's 1533-position model. The record is from RNAcentral.